CUACGGGUGGCUGCAGUGGGGAAUAUUGGACAAUGGGCGAAAGCCUGAUCCAGCCAUGCCGCGUGUGUGAAGAAGGCCUUCGGGUUGUAAAGCACUUUCAGUGGGGAAGAAAGCCUUGGGGCUAAUACCCUCGAGGAAGGACAUCACCCACAGAAGAAGCACCGGCUAACUCCGUGCCAGCAGCCGCGGUAAUACGGAGGGUGCGAGCGUUAAUCGGAAUUACUGGGCGUAAAGCGCGCGUAGGCGGUCUGAUAAGCCGGUUGUGAAAGCCCCGGGCUCAACCUGGGAACGGCAUCCGGAACUGUCAGGCUAGAGUGCAGGAGAGGAAGGUAGAAUUCCCGGUGUAGCGGUGAAAUGCGUAGAGAUCGGGAGGAAUACCAGUGGCGAAGGCGGCCUUCUGGACUGACACUGACGCUGAGGUGCGAAAGCGUGGGUAGCAAACAGGAUUAGAUACCCUAUAGUC
Molecule: ribosomal RNA, 463 nt
Filed under: Vreelandella stevensii
Lineage: Bacteria; Pseudomonadati; Pseudomonadota; Gammaproteobacteria; Oceanospirillales; Halomonadaceae
Description: partial 16S ribosomal RNA
Rfam family: Bacterial small subunit ribosomal RNA
Source: RNAcentral